GUGAAAAAGAACCUGAAACCGUGUACGUACAAGCAGUGGGAGCACCCUUUGGGGUGUGACUGCGUACCUUUUGUAUAAUGGGUCAGCGACUUAUAUUCUGUAGCAAGGUUAACCGAAUAGGGGAGCCGGAGGGAAACCGAGUCUUAAUUGGGCGUUAAGUUGCAGGGUAUAGACCCGAAACCCGGUGAUCUAGCCAUGGGCAGGUUGAAGGUUGGGUAACACUAACUGGAGGACCGAACCGACUAAUGUUGAAAAAUUAGCGGAUGACCUGUGGCUGGGGGUGAAAGGCCAAUCAAACCGGGAGAUAGCUGGUUCUCCCCGAAAGCUAUUUAGGUAGCGCCUCGUGAAUUCAUCUCCGGGGGUAGAGCACUGUUUCGGCUAGGGGGCCAUCCCGGCUUACCAACCCGAUGCAAACUGCGAAUACCGGAGAAUGUUAUCACGGGAGACACACGGCGGGUGCUAACGUCCGUCGUGAAGAGGGAAACAACCCAGACCGCCAGCUAAGGUCCCAAAGUCAUGGUUAAGUGGGAAACGAUGUGGGAAGGCCCAGACAGCCAGGAUGUUGGCUUAGAAGCAGCCAUCAUUUAAAGAAAGCGUAAUAGCUCACUGGUCGAGUCGGCCUGCGCGGAAGAUGUAACGGGGCUAAACCAUGCACCGAAGCUGCGGCAGCGACGUUUAUGCGUUGUUGGGUAGGGGAGCGUUCUGUAAGCCUGCGAAGGUGGCCUGUGAGGGUUGCUGGAGGUAUCAGAAGUGCGAAUGCUGACAUAAGUAACGAUAAAGCGGGUGAAAAGCCCGCUCGCCGGAAGACCAAGGGUUCCUGUCCAACGU
RNAcentral lists this ribosomal RNA (828 nucleotides) under Salmonella enterica subsp. enterica serovar Bovismorbificans. RNAcentral's name for it is "partial 23S ribosomal RNA". It matches the Rfam family "Bacterial large subunit ribosomal RNA", at positions 538 to 1365 of the family's 2925-position model. Lineage: Bacteria; Pseudomonadati; Pseudomonadota; Gammaproteobacteria; Enterobacterales; Enterobacteriaceae. The record is from RNAcentral.